This 464-nucleotide ribosomal RNA is filed under the name Vreelandella stevensii. RNAcentral's name for it is "partial 16S ribosomal RNA". It matches the Rfam family "Bacterial small subunit ribosomal RNA", at positions 338 to 795 of the family's 1533-position model. Lineage: Bacteria; Pseudomonadati; Pseudomonadota; Gammaproteobacteria; Oceanospirillales; Halomonadaceae. The record is from RNAcentral.
CCUACGGGAGGCUGCAGUGGGGAAUAUUGGACAAUGGGGGCAACCCUGAUCCAGCCAUGCCGCGUGUGUGAAGAAGGCCCUCGGGUUGUAAAGCACUUUCAGUGAGGAAGAACGCCUGGUGGUUAAUACCCAUCAGGAAAGACAUCACUCACAGAAGAAGCACCGGCUAACUCCGUGCCAGCAGCCGCGGUAAUACGGAGGGUGCGAGCGUUAAUCGGAAUUACUGGGCGUAAAGCGCGCGUAGGUGCUUGAUAAGCCGGUUGUGAAAGCCCCGGGCUCAACCUGGGAACGGCAUCCGGAACUGUCAAGCUAGAGAGCAAGAGAGGAAGGUAGAAUUCCCAGUGUAGCGGUGAAAUGCGUAGGGAUCGGGAGGAAUACCAGUGGCGAAGGCGGCCUUCUGGACUGACACUGACACUGAGGUGCGAAAGCGUGGGUAGCAAACAGGAAUAGAUACCCUAGGAGUC